This 5919-nucleotide long non-coding RNA is filed under the name Xyrichtys novacula (pearly razorfish). The record is from RNAcentral. Lineage: Eukaryota; Metazoa; Chordata; Actinopteri; Labriformes; Labridae.
CCUUGGGGGGGGGAGUGAAAGCAUUGAGAGAAGAAAACAAGACAGCAGCCGCCACCCCCUCCACUCUUCUUCAUGUGCUGUUUGGAAGAAUGACAGGGAUGGAAAGAGAAAAUAUGCCUGUGGCAGGAAAGAGAAACCGAACCAGCUCAUUACUGACCCAAACACAGAGAGGGAAGGAGAUAUAAAAGUUGAAAAUAUACUGAGGAACAAAGAGGAAAGAAAAUGCAAGAAGGAUACCAGAUCCAGAGAAAAUACUUUGGAUUUUCUUCCCCUUUUACAUGCCGGCGCGGCAUCGUUACGACGAUUCCAUCACAGCGUGACAGCAGCAUAUUUUAGAGAGCCCUCUGUAACACAGGCGGUCUGUGGGUCAGCUGAGCGAGCCCUGUUAGAGGAGUCUGCAGGGUCCUCUAAUAAGCAGCAGACCCUCAGAAUAGCAAACAAGCCUACUACUGAGAAGAAAAUGAAAGAGGAGCCACCCCUUCAACAGGAUACAAACGUCCCCUGUCUGUGCUUUUCUUCCUCCUCUUUCACUUUUUUUCUGCACUUUCUUCGCAUCUUCUUUUGGCCUACAUCUCCUCUGUUAUUCACGCAUGUUUCCUCUUUCGCCUUAUCUGCCUAUCUCUCCUUUUCUUCUUAUCUCCCCCCAUCCCCUUCCCUGGGAGGACAUAACAAGCUCACUGACUCCCACUCGGCAUGUACCAGUGCUGUCCUGUUUUUAUGGGGUGACAAAUUAGCCCGGUAGAGAAGCAAGCUGCCAUGGCUGAGCAGUAAACAACGAGCUCGUCUGAGUGGAAAAAUACAGGGUUUGGAGUUGCAAAGGAUCCCUUCAUCGCUGCUGCUCGUCAUCACGCCUCCUUCAACUCCGACUCCUGCCUCCCUCCGGCCUGAGGAGCAUGCCCGCUGAUUCCACAUGGCUCGAGCCCAGCGAGCACAGCCAUGGUGCAAUGAGCCACAGCUUAACACCAUCUCAGAUACUGACAGUGUGAUUGCCGCCGAGGAAAUGGAGCAGAAUGGCAGCCAGCGAAGCCAAAACGACAAGUCAACAGGCCGGAGAGUGGGCGAUUUCUGGGUAAUGAAAGUGUAAUAUUUUCGGUCUGGUUUGGAAGUUAAGCAGAAAGAGUUGAAGUACUAGCUUUAAUGCGCUUUCAGAAAAAACUAGACAUGCCCUCUGUAGAUCAGUCAAAUUAGGUCGUUUUCUGAAGAGACGGCGCACAUAUGGAUACAUGCAAUUCAAUUCCGAUUCAUGCACUCUCAGAGAGCUGACCCAGAAUAGCCUUUCCCAUAAUCCUGCUUUUCAGGAGGGCAAAAGGGCGACAAAGUGAAAAAGUCAGGCCUUUAAUGGAUUAUACCCGAGGAUGACUGACCAAAUCACAAAAAUCCUUUUCUUCCUUUUAGCAAAAUAAAAAUGUCAUAUCCACAAAAACGAGCUAUCAAAUAAUAGGAGGAAGAUUCAUUUGGAUGUGAAAUGUUAAUUCUGUGACUUCUUUAGAUGUCUUUGUUUUACAUGUAGAAAAAUAUAAACAUAAAUCUAAAAUGUGGAUGUUUGCAAAUCAUUAUAUGUUAUAUGUUCAACAAUCUGGGAAUAUUUUUUGUAUAAUUAACACCGAGUUAGUGAUUUUGAUUGAGUCCUCAUUAUUACAGACAUGACUCUGUAGUGGAAAUCACAGCAUGGACUCAAAACUGUCUCUGAACUCUUCUCGGGAAAGACCCUCUAGGUUUCAGCGAGGUAAUACCAAACCUCAUUCUACACAUAUAACAACAGUGUGGCUCUGUAGAAGAAGAGUCCAGAUGCCCAUCUAGGUUUGAAACAUAAAUACAACAAAAAAAUAUAACAUUUUCUGGCAAGACACGCAAUCACAGAAAAAGUUAGUCCACAUAAUUGAUUUUAGGAGAAGACUUACUGUCUCCACACAACAAGCGUGAGUAAAAUCAUUUGCGCGAAUGAAUUACAUGUUAAGUCAAUGCAAAGGAGCGAUUAGACGCUCCUACAACUCUGGCGAAUGAUGCAAAUUGGGCGAAUCUUAACUUGAGCAGAUAUUUGUGUUGCGAUAUCUAAUCAGCACGAACGUUGCCGGGUUACGUAUGAAAACGGACUAUUGUUCACUGGGUAUCUAAAAUGGAGGACAAACUUAUUGAGUUGUUGUGUGCCCCAAAUCAUAUAUUUUCUUUCAAUUACCGAAACUGGAAUAAAAAGGAGUUCGUCUGGAGGCAAGUGGGUGAGGAGGUCGGAUUACCCGGUAAAUUCUAAAAAACCCCGUUAUUACUUGAUUGGUUGAAUUGGCAGGGAUGACCGUUCAAAUUACCGUUGACGUGUGAAUGAAGCGAGUAAAAACUAUUCAUUCAUUCAUAAAGCGAGUCGAUGAUUUUACUCUCGCUUGGUGUGAGCGCCCCAUAAGGCUCAUGAUUGGUCCCCAUGAUCAACAUUUUGCCAACUAUCAGGUUAAGGUCAUCCGGACCUUGCAGGACUACGUUAAGCCAACAUCUUUGAAGUGACUCCGAAAGAAAGCAACAGACUGGAGUCACCCUAACCCUGGAGCUGACCUCAGUCCAGCUGUGCAAAGUCGAGCGUCCUUCUCGCCUCAUUCUACCUCGAUGCUGUUCUGCGGUUUUGUCGGUACAAUCAGACUUUGUUUGCUGAGUUUGCACUCGGUCAUCCUGUUUCUCCUUUACGCACAGGAAAAAUACAAAAACACCAACUCACCGUCCGCUGUAUUAUUUCCAUAUGGACAUCGACAUAUGCUUUCUAAACAGGCACAAAUGGCCCCAGGUGGAGGAGACAUAUGUUAUAAUUUUACACUAGUUUACUUUUAGAAACGGUGUUUACUUCCUCUCGUGGUCACUAUGACAUAUGAGCGAAAUUUCUCAAUAAAAUGCACAUUUGUGUGGGGCUGGUUUGAGGAGCAUGCAGCCUCCAUUGGUCCACAUUCAUUAAGGUUUGCAGGCUGCGGUUUGACAGUCUAACAGCAGCCAAAGUGUCACACAAGCAGUCAAAUCCAGUGAAUCAGUCUGUCACUGAAAAUCCCAUUAUCACUCCUUGGGUAGAGGUAGCCCAGAGUAAGAGACUGAGCUGAAUUACCUCUCUGUAUACUGUAUCUCCUCUCCUUGCGCCUGUGUUUGAGGGCAGAGGCCACGAAAAUAAUCUCCUACACAGUGUCACACCAACAGCUCCAGCCUCUAUCCACCUACUCAGGCUAACAAAUUAAAAUCCAGCUAUGAAAACCAAAUAAUGAGUAAACAAAAAGCCAUUUUAUAAAGACCUCAUAGAAAAACCAGCCCCAGGGGGGAGGGGGAAUAUAAAUUCUAGUUAAGAAGGCGCCACAGUAAUCCCACAUUUUAAUGGUCUUAUCUUAAUUAUGGAGAAAUUGUGCUCCCCCGCGGGGCAAAGGAGCCAUCACCGAGGCAAUAAAAGUACAGGGAGGGAAUUUUUGUUGCGUUAAUUCAUGUAAACACACAUACAUAAGCAUUUAAUGCAUGCAAACCCUUUUAAUAGACGUCAGAUGACACACACACACAUGGUUACACCGCAUGGCCUGGCUCAAGGAAGGAUGAAUGAGACCCAAGAGCCAUUAGUCAUGUGUGACCCAGCCAGGCGUAAUCAGAGCCUAAUUCAACAGAGAUACCACCUCUGAGGCUAAAGCCCGAUCCUCAUUAAUCAUUACUGCAUCAGCUAAAGCACCGGCCUAUGGCUUCAGUCUUUAUUAAUGGCACCCCACUUUAACUCCCUCCGUUUCUGGUCAAGCUACAGUGCUCCGAGACAGCAGAGAUCAGAAAUCCAAAGAGACUCUGAGGGCAAACAAGUGGUCCCAAGAAUAAAGCAGAGGAAGUGAAUUAAAGCCGCUAUUACACCCAACACAAACGCUCACAAUUAAUUCUAUUUUGAACGGCACAAAACAGCUUAAGAGCUCAAAAUCAGGCGUCUAAUAAUCCACUACUGUAAGACUCUAUCUCCCUCUUUCUCUCAGUUAGAGAAUAAGCUAAAUAUAGGGAGGAAAAGAACGGCGUGGGAUUUUCACUCGCUCCGUGAAUUCAUUAUGAGAAAAAAGAUGUCAUUGACACAGAUUUCAGGAGUUUAGAGGAUUGUAUUUGUCAAUUUUCUUGGCUGUAAUACAGUGAAUACACUUAAAAAAGACAGACUCAGAGUGGGUUUCCAGUUCUGGGAUGUCUGCGCUACAAACUCCCCAUAUUUUAAAUCAUUUGGAAAGUUGUGAAUUGAUCCCAAAGGGUGACGCCUCCCUGGUUUCCUGUCAGCUCCGUACUUCCUAAAACAAAAGUCUAAUAACGCCCCAAAAGAGCGCUGAAUAAGAAAUACUGCUGGAGCCACUCAGUUUGGUAAAAGUUGGUGACUUUGUCUGAUAUUAUCCUCUGAGGGUGGUAGACUUUAAAGAAAAGAGACAGGAAUGACUAAGAUGUAAUUCUGCUUAUUGAUCUCAUUCUGUGGGAUCAAAUCUUGGGAACUUUUUUGGGGGGAACUGUUGGCGUUUUUUGUGUCAGUAAUAUAUUCUAUCAAACUUUAUCAUCUUUACUGCUUUGCUAAAACCAGGAAGAAGCCUUUGAAAGUCAGCAAAUCACAGCCUCUGAUUGGUGAUGGCCAAUGUCAAAGAUGGCGGCAUAGUUGGCUAACAACAGAAAUCUCUCAAUGACACUGAAAUAAAUACAUAAAUAAUCACAGAUCACCUUUGUUUUUUAAGGGACAGGAGUUUAUUGCCGGGAAAGGUGUCGCUCUCACAAACCGAGUGGAUUUGGUGUCUAUAUUGUCCUGAUUUAACUGCAAAGCAUAAAGGUAAAUGAUGCAAAUGGUUCAAAAAAGUUGGAACUGGUUCUGAUCUGAAACGGUUUUAAAUUCCUAAUAAAUUCAACAACAAGUUCUUAAAUGAUUUAUAUAAACUGCAGUUCCCAAAUUGGCCUCUUGGGGUCAGCUUUAACAGUGAGCCAGUUCCCAUAAGGUCCCAUGUAAAAAUGUCAGCCCUUAAAGUUAAACAUGUUUAUGUGAUCUCUAUGUUUCUUUUUAAUUUAAUUUAAUUUUUAAUUUAUUCAUUUAAUUUUAUUUAUUAUUAUUAUUAUUAUUAUUAUUUUUUAUUAUUUUUUUUUUUUCAUGGCCACUAUAAUACAGGGUGAAUUUUUCAUUUUAGCCUUUUCCAAUCUCCAUGUUUUAAAUUAAUUAAUUAAUUUAUUUAAUUUAUUCAUUUAUUUAUUUCCACUUUUUCCACCUACUUCAGGUCACUACUGGUGAACAAAAAAUCUGAAAUAACAUGAUGCUCAUUUGCUGAAGUCAAAGUAUCAAAAAGGCCACACAAAGUUUGGUUUGGGAAAAAUAACCCUUUUUUUCCGGAAUUGAAACAUUUCAAACCCAAAUCCAGUAAGUCUGUCCCGCUCAGGGCGAAUCCUCGUCUUCUCACUUAGCUUAUGUCUUCAUACCGACGUUGAAUGCCAUAUGGACGCCUCUAAAUUCUGCUCUGUGUUGUAUGAUUCAACUAAAGGGCAGCAUUUAUCAUAUUUGCCAUGGAGUGAACUAGAGUCGCUUUCCUCUCGCUGUGAGCAGAGACCAAUUUAGGAAGUGGAAAAUGGAAAAACCUGGAGUGGCCUGGAGCAGAGUGAUUACAGGAUGAUUUGAGUGUGGGGCUGAAAUUGCUGCUGAGCCGCUCCGCUCAUAAAUGUGUGUGAGUGUGUGUAUGUCUCUGUUGAAAGUAGCACAUAAAACAAGUGCUACUGUUUUAGAUAAGAGUUUGCAAUCAUUUGAGGACCUCUUGGCGCCUGUUCCUAUUUUGAGACCAAGGGUCAGCAAGAGUUCUCAGGACCAGGUUUGUUCGGCUUUAGUCAACAUUCAGAUCAGGACACUCCUGUUUUUUCAGAUUUAUCAUAAACUCCUGUACUCAUCGACAUGUUUGGAUGAUGAUCUCGACUUCCCCAUUAGUCCGACUC